RNAcentral lists this ribosomal RNA (440 nucleotides) under uncultured bacterium. RNAcentral describes it as "partial 16S ribosomal RNA". It matches the Rfam family "Bacterial small subunit ribosomal RNA", at positions 338 to 795 of the family's 1533-position model. The record is from RNAcentral.
CCUACGGGAGGCAGCAGUGGGGAAUAUUGGACAAUGGGCGGAACCCUGAUCCAGCGACGCAGCGUGAAUGAAGAAGUCUUUAGGUAUGGAAAGCUCUAUCAGCAAAGAAAAAAAUGAAGGUACCUGACUAAGAAGCCCCGGCUAACUACGUGACAGCAGCCGCGGUAAUGCGUAGGGUGCAAGCGUUAUCCGGAUGAACUGGGUGUAAAGGGAGAGUAGAAGGUGCAGUAAGUCUGAUGUGAAAGGUUGGGGUCCAACCUUGGGACUGCAGUGGAAACUGUUGAACUGGAGUACAGGUGAGGUAGGCGGAAUUCGUAGUGUAGCGGUGAAAUGCGUAGAUAUUACGAGGAACACCGGUGGCGAAGGCGGCUUACUGGACUGUAACUGACGUUGAGGCUCGAAAGCGUGGGGAGCAAACAGGAUUAGAUACCCCAGUAGUC